GAAAUUGAAAUGGAAGAGUUUUUGCCGAACUAGGCCAGGCCAUAUCUGGGGUGAUUUUGGAUAGAACAACUCUCACCACUACACCAACCACUUCCAGUGUUUACCCAAUUGAUUUACCCUUCUCAACGUUCUCAAUAUUUACAACAACUCACCUCAAAGACUGUACUUUUCCUCUUCUUCUCGAUCCCUUACCUUCCAUCCACUCCCCAAUUUUCCCUUGACAUCCCCCCUGACUAUCUUCUUUUAUGAGCAACCUUGAGAAUUAUGAUUCAUUAGAGACAGAGAGGAAGUGUACCUACUUUUUGGAACCAACCUGUCCAUUUUAAUGAGAAGUCGGUGUGGGUGACCCUGUGUUGUGCAGAAAUUAAUUUUAGGAUCAAUUGUUGUUACAUAUUAUAUUGAAGUAUUAGAUUGUAAUAAUAAAAUAUUUUGGAAUUUUU
Molecule: long non-coding RNA, 440 nt
Organism: Caenorhabditis elegans
Lineage: Eukaryota; Metazoa; Nematoda; Chromadorea; Rhabditida; Rhabditidae
Gene: linc-87
Product: ncRNA
Source: Ensembl